CUUGAUUUAAAGGUGUACUUGCUCCCUUUAGGUGCAGGAAACAGAGGCCUGGUUAACUUGACCUCGCCCAGUUGUCCUUAUCUUUGCCUGUGUCAGAACUAAGAUUGAGUUGUUGUUUAGGGUGCGGGAUAGUAAUAGAUUGAAAGGACCUGUCCCACCAAAAUAUCUUUGUGUCUUUUCUUCACAGUGGGAUCCUGAAGAUGUCAAUUUUGAAAGGAACAAUGACAACAUGGAGACCUUCAGAUUCCAGGUGCCGAGGGGCUCUUCGACGACAGUAGACUUCAGCUCUGCUGAUUAGUAUCUUCUAAAAACCAGUCCAUCAGCUCAAAGACUAGGAUGAGGCAUUCAUCAGUAAAACUGAGCAGAGAUCGGACCUACAGUGACACCCAUAGCAGGGAUUUAAGCCACUGAAGAAGCUGCCCAGGGAAGUGAGGAACCUGGAGCUGAGCGUGGCUGGUUUACCUGGCUCCGAAUAAAUCUAAGAUUGUGGGUUCUAUGGACAGACCUGGAUAUGCCAUUUGUUCUGAAGAUUAGAAGCUCACAGAUGGCUCCUGCUUUGUAAAGAUAAGCCUUCAUCCAAAGGACAAUGGGCCCUCUUUUCCCGUCUUUCCUUUCCCUCUAUUCCCAUGAAAUGCAACUGUAAACUCAGUAUCUGCUGGAUGCCAGGAAUGAGUUCACCUAACAAAUAGCUCAUGUGUUUGGACCUCAGCAGAGCCUGUCCUGCAAGCCCUGGCUUCUGCCCUCCAGUAUCUGCUGGAAGUUAUCCAUAGGACUGCUUGGUCAACCAAGUAUCUGUGAGAUCAGUGGUAUGGCAAGCACAAGCAAAAAAACAAAAGAAUGGGUUUUUAUUGGUCUUUUCGAAGAAUGAAAAGCAAGAGAACUUCCUCCAGCCUGGCAACGCGUGUGCGGAGGCAGGGUUUACAGGUGAGGGGCACUGUGUGCUUUAGGAGGUCACUGAGAGCAUACAGAGGGUAAUAGGUAUGCUGGGACAUGUUAAUUCAAGCACAGUAACCCCAUUUGAAGAUGAAUGGUAGUGUGACCACAUGUGAGGGGAAAGGUGAAGGGAAUGGGGCUAAGGUCGGAACCACUAGAGUGAAUAAAAUUUAACUGAGUGAAUCAAAGCAUCUCACACUGGAAUAUAGUGGUAAGUCAGAAUCCCAGCAGAGCCACAGAAGUCUGCCAUGAGGGGGUCUGGGAUAAAUGCCAAGAAACACAGCUCUGCUGAUGGCUGGCUCACAGUGACCUGUGACUCAGCUGCAGCUGCCCAGUUUCUCCUAAGGGCAUGUGCAAGUCCCGGCAGCAGGAGGAAGGGGGUGCUGGGAAAGUGGGUUGGUUCCACAGGUCUCUGCAUAGAUCCUAAUCCCCUGGGUGACCUCUGAACUAGCAGAAAACUCAAAGCUACUUUAUUUAUUCCAUUUAUCUGCUUUGGGUUCCUGGUUGUCUUAUCAAAGAACGAUUGCUAAAGGCAACUUUGUUUUGUGGGGUCUUAGCCAAUGUAGCUAUACUUUGAAGGAGGAGGAAGAGGUGAAUAGAGGCCCAAAGCAAAGGAAGUUGAAGGGAACAUGCCAGUAAGUGAAAUGGUAGAAGCCUGGGGGCAGGGAAGGGUGGAAUCUAGUUGAUGGUGCAGUGUGGAUUGUAGAGGGUAGAAGACACUGGAAAGGAACUGGAGCAUGGAGGCUAGGGAGUGGGUGCUUCAGUCUGUGGCUGAUGCUAGCCAUGGAAGAUACCAAAGGGUGACUCACUUGCUCAGGGGCUCAGAUACUCAAGUGAGUUUUUUACUUCUAUUGCCACAGCUUUUCAGGAAACAGAAAUGUAUAGUCAUGUAUGGAGUGAACAUGGGGAACGUGUUUCAUUUAAAGACUAUUGAGUGGUAACCGCAAGCAGGAGGAGGGAUCAGCUUUAGAAAAGCAGAAGGCAUAGGGAUAGGAUGACAUUUCUGAAGUUCACGUUUAGCAUGUGCACACACACUCACAAACAUUUUCUCAAAGGGAGAUUGGAUCAUGCUCCCUGGGGUAUCAGAAUCCCUUGAGUCCUCAUAGGAAUGGCCAUUCUCAAGAACACUAAAUGAUCUUGCUGCCUUGGAGUAGCACAAACUAUUUCAGCUCCAGAUGUUAUUUAUCUCCCUAUAUCCUAUCAUCCCAGUCUUUUCCCUUCACAAACCAGUUACUAUCAUUAUGGUCCCAGAUUGUCUCAAGUCUCUUCAUCCACAGUAAACCACCCUGGGAGUUUAGGAAGUAAAGUUUGGCUUUAUUGUUUAGUGAGAACCUGCCUGUAUGCAAAGCUCUAGAACCCCAGGACCUUUGUAAAGAGGUACCAACCAAAACGACUUUCUCCUAGUAGGAGAGCAGCUUCAUUUUUAGCUAUUACUCUGGCCACAAAGACUAUGGAAGGUCCUUGCCCUGAGGACCCACUAAGCAGUGCAAAGAAUUACCUCCAUUGGAAGGGCUGGGAACAAACCAUGCAACCAUCCUAUCCAGAGAAGAGAUGGUGUAAUAUGUCUUAAUUGUCUUACCUAUUAUCUACAUGGCCCAAAGCAUGUUACCUAACCUUUGUGAACUCUUAAGGCAGACUAGGAAACCUCCCUAGAAAGCUUAAGGUAAUGACUAAGUGAAUUAACAUAAAUGAAGUGCCUUAUACCUGACUAACAGCAGAUUUUGAAGAGUGAUUAGUUUCCCUCCUCCCUAUAUUUUUGGACACAUGUGCUGAAAGACAGUGAAACCAAAGAAUCAGAUCCACAGAUGGAAGGGAUUUCAGAGAUUUGGAUCUCCUUAAGAAUAACCACAAUAAGUGAUUAUCCAGCCCCUGCUUAAACUCAUCUAAAGAAAACAAAAACAGAGAUUUCAUCUGCCAAAGAAGUUUGUAUAACUUAGGGAGAGUUCUGAUGACUCUAAUUUUCUAAAGAGCCUGUAUAGAGCCUGAAGAACUAGUUUUCUUAUGUCCCUCUGAUAAUUCAGUAAAUGCAUCAUCUGAUGAUAUAUUCACAUCAUGUUUGUUACAGUAGACAUGAGCUAUAGUUUAAGGAGAGGCAUUGGGCCAAGGAGUAUGAUGAGGCUCCAUUUCCCAGGUCUGAUUCAGUGUAAUAUUUGUCAUUUCCCUUUCUGGGUCAGUCUCCUCAUUUAUAAAAUGAAAGCUAGGUUAGAUUUAUUUCCUUUUUUCUUUUUUUGUGAAUAUGCCAGUUAGUAUGUUUCCCACAGACAAAUGGACAUUUUUAUAAACGCUCAGAAAAGAAACAUAAUGUUAAAGACAAAUUUCAGAUAUGCCUUGAAGAUAUCCAUUUAAGAUGAAUACUGGUGCUGGGGUAUGUGAUUGGCAUGUGCAAGGCCCUGGGUUCCACCCUCAAAACACACACACACACACACACAUACAUACACACGCACUCCAUUACCAUACUUCCCAAAUUCUCUGCACUCCUUUUUCUGCCCUUUACCAUUCUCCUUCAAAUUUUCCAACUAUGCAGGCACUGACCUAUUCUCUUCGACUUUGUUUUUUCUGAAGUUAAGGUCAAUGCCCUGGCAGAGGUGGCUGUUUUGAAUGAACCCAAGCUAUACUGCAGUGCCCAGGAAGAACUCUUCAAGAAGUUUACAUAUGCCUCUCCUAGUAUUCAAGAGUCAUCAUGUGAGAGGGACGAUCUUAAGAAGUUCAAGAACGAUACUAGAUAAAAUUACUUAGAAGUCUAAUCUGCUUUUUCUUGAUACCUAACCUUAAAGCCAAACAAACCAUGGGACAUUCGGGACUGCUCCUUUCCAGCAGGGCAAGUCAUUAACCAGCGUUAAGUUUCAAGAACCUCCGUUGAUUGAUUGCCUGGAGAAUUCGGCACGCCCUCCCAAUUCCCUUGGGCAUUUUCCAUCAGCGCUGGGUACUGGCAGGAGGCUCAGGUCUCCUCUUGCUAGUCCUCACUCAGGGUCUGCAGCUAUGACGGCUGAGGGGUCUGUCUCCUGCAGAGCGCCUUCUCUCGGCAGUCCCCAGGGGGAUCGUUCACAACCGCCUGAGGGCCAGUCGAUGGCCUCCCCAAAAGAAGGGUGGUGGCCCAUUGUCCAUAUGAGUGGAAACUGAACCACGUCUCCCCACGCCUACCUCUUGGGAGAACCGGCCAUCGGCAGAUAGCAGGUAGCCCAUUCAAACCACUCACCUCGUACUUCCGGGAAGAGGGGAAGAGGCGCAGCCCUGCGCCUGCGCACUCCGCAGCCACCGUCUCCCCCUGGGAGUGCGAGUCCCGCCCCCGCGGAGUCCGCCGCUUUCGGGCUCCGGCCCGCGCAGCCGCGGCCCGGGAGACCACCAGCGGCUGGUAGUUGCUGUCAGUCUGUCUCCUCUGAGUUUUUAGGGAGUUAGUCACAUAGUCAUUUUUUUGGUUCCUAGUGUAGUUAGGACCAAUCAACAGACUUAGCCUGCACUGUAAACCAUUCUUUAAGUACACUAAAAAAAUUUUUGAAAUAAAUAUAAUACAGGUGCGUGGUUUAAAAAAGAAAAUCAGAUCCGACCAAGUUUAUGAAGAACAACAAUUCCCUGGCCCUCCGUUCCCAACCUGCUUACUUCUUUCCUUCCUCGCAAUCACACUUGCUCAUGUUCCCAAAGUGUUUUGUCCAACUGUCUUCUCCAUUGAUUUUUUGUUUUGUUUGUUUUGCUGGUGUGAAACCCUGGGCCUCACACAAGCACAUAGGGCUCUAUUAGUUUUGAAUUGGAACCCAGCUGCUGUCAACAAAGUUCUAAGAUUAUAGUUUUUUAGCUAAAUUAUCUCUAACUUCCAUUAACUACAGGCUAAUGAGGUUCAGUAGGUGGGACAGGGAUACUGGCAUGUUGAGAAUGGUGUUAAGAACUGUCUACACAUCUGCAGGUUACUGCGGAGUCCUCUGUACCACUAGAACCCAGUUUCUGAGUCCCAGGUUACUGGAUCUGAGCCCACUCCAACUGACAUCUGCCUUCAGGACAGCCUGGCAAGUUCUACCUAUCUACUCUGGAUUUGACCUUUCCCUCUAUCCCUCUACCUCUUCUCCUGCAGAUAUCUUAGCCCUUGGAAUCUCCUGUGGAAAACAGGGUUUUCUAACCCCACCACCAGAACAAAGGACUGUGUACACUUUCACCACCACAGUCUUUCCCAAGGACAGCCUGGCCACGUGUGAAGAGAGCCAUUUCAUAGGCCUAAUGUUUUAACCAUCACACUUUGUGAAAUGUGUACCCUAAAGCUCUGAUAUUCAAAUAUAGGUUCUUAAGCUCCAGCCUAGGUCUGGACAGGGCCUGGGAAUCUUAAGCUCCUCAAGUGAUUCUGUCACAGAGGAUAGAGGACCACUCUUUGAGAAACACUGUCCUUAGGAAAUCAAUUUAAAACUGAUCUAUUUGUGUAAGAAGAUGUUCCCAUGAAACUACUUAAAAUAGGGGGGGAAAGUGAUAAGUACCCCAUGAUUGGGAAACAUUAAACAUUACACCUUUAUUUUUUUGUGUGUGCAGUAUUGAACCCAGGAUUGAACCCAGGGGCUCUCUGGGCUAAGUUACAUCCCUAGCCCUUUUAAUUUUUUGAGACAAGUUCUCUAUAAGUGGCCUGGCUGACCUCAAACUUGUAAUCGUCUUGCUUCCCAAGUAGUUGAGAUUACGUAUGUGAGAUAUCAUGUUCAACUAAAUAGAAUAAUUUAAUGAAAUUACAUUUUGCCUUGAAGUCUAAAAGAUUGUGGGACAAUAAACUGAGGCACAUACCUGAAUUGCCUUGAAAUUAUUUGGUGCGAUGCCAGAGUGCAAGUUAUUCUGAUAAUGAAUUUCUAGUUCUCACAUGGUGAAAAAAAAUCCUUUUUUAAAAAAAAAUUUUUAUUGUGGUGGUGGUUAUAAAGUUGUAUGUAUGUUUGAGCUUCUGAGGAGGCAGGAUUGAGACACUGAAAGGCUGAACCAACUCCGCGUGAGCAGAGUGGCAGAGGAUGUUUUUGAUAGCACCCCUAACCAGGAAACAGAUUCCUGUGGGCAAGCAGUGACUCACCCCCCAGUCUCAGUGAGUCAACAGUGUCCUAAGGGAGCCAGGGCUGGCAGCCUUCUGCUGCAAGGGAUGUAAGCAGGGCCUAGACUUAGUCCAGGAUAUCAGUGUGACAGAUCAGGGGUGACAGAACAGAUCCCAAGGAGUGGAAAGGGAGCUGAAUCCUUUGAAUGGGUCAGGUUAAAAAAAAAAAAAAACUACAGAAUAAAGCAAGUUAAAAAAGAGAGAAAGAGAGAGAGAACACAAGCCAGGGCAGUGGAGCAUGCCUAUAAUCCCAGCAGCUUGGAGGCUGAGGUAGGAGAAUCUCAAGUUCAAAGCCAGAGUCAGCAAUUUUUGGACGCCCUAAAGCAACUUAGCAAGACCCUGUCUCAAAAUAAAAAAUAAAUCAAAAGGAUUGGGAAUGUUGCUCAAUGGUUAAGCACCCCUGGGUUCAAUCCCCAGUACCCACUCCCCCUAUAAAAGAUAGAACACAAGAGAGCAUGUGCCAUUAUUAGUAAUUACAAGAGAAAAUUCAUUAGUAUCAGAAAUCAUUAGAUUCCAUGAUAGAUUAUGUGGAAGUUGGUAUAGUGGCACACACCUGUGAUCUCAGUGACUUGGGAGGCUGAAGCAGAAGGACCACAAGUUCAAAGAUAGCCUCAGCAAUUUAAGGAGGCCCUAAGCAACUUUGUGAGACCCUGUCUCUAAAUAAAAUAUUUUUAAAAGGGGUAAGAAUGUGGCUCAGUGGUUAAACAGCCCUGUGUUCAAUCCCCAGUAUCCCCGCCCCCCAAAAAAAAUUAAGGAAGGGGGCAGAAUUUUUCCAGAGUUCUUAUUCUGAAUAAGAAAAAGGGCAUUUGAAAAACAGCUGGGGUAGGGAUGGGAGACAGUGUUGGAGAUAGAUUUAAGUGGCAGAGGGCUUGCCAAUCAUGUACAAGGCCCUGGGUCCAAUCCCUGGCACCAAAAUUAAAAAGAAAAAUAGCCAGGCACGAUGGUGCAGAUUCAUGGUCCCAGCUACUGGAAGGACUGACACAGAAGGAUCACUUGAGCCCAGGAGUUUGAAACAAGCUCAGUCAAACCCUGUCCUUAAGUGUGUGUGUGUGUGUGUGUAAGUAUAUAUAAAAAAUAUAUAAAUAUAUAAUUUUUUCAGGUUUAUGUGGA
This 7087-nucleotide long non-coding RNA is filed under the name Marmota monax (woodchuck). The record is from RNAcentral. Lineage: Eukaryota; Metazoa; Chordata; Mammalia; Rodentia; Sciuridae.